This 497-nucleotide ribosomal RNA is filed under the name uncultured bacterium. RNAcentral describes it as "partial 16S ribosomal RNA". It matches the Rfam family "Bacterial small subunit ribosomal RNA", at positions 28 to 507 of the family's 1533-position model. The record is from RNAcentral.
GAUGAACGCUGGCGGCGUGCCUAAUACAUGCAAGUCGAGCGAACAGAUGAGGAGCUUGCUCCUCUGACGUUAGCGGCGGACGGGUGAGUAACACGUGGAUAACCUACCUAUAAGACUGGGAUAACUUCGGGAAACCGGAGCUAAUACCGGAUAAUAUAUUGAACCGCAUGGUUCAAUAGUGAAAUACGGUUUUGCUGUCACUUAUAGAUGGAUCCGCGCCGCAUUAGCUAGUUGGUAAGGUAACGGCUUACCAAGGCAACGAUGCGUAGCCGACCUGAGAGGGUGAUCGGCCACACUGGAACUGAGACACGGUCCAGACUCCUACGGGAGGCAGCAGUAGGGAAUAUUCCGCAAUGGGCGAAAGCCUGACGGAGCAACGCCGCGUGAGUGAUGAAGGUCUUCGGAUCGUAAAACUCUGUUAUUAGGGAAGAACAAAUGUGUAAGUAACUAUGCACGUCUUGACGGUACCUAAUCAGAAAGCCACGGCUAACUACGUG